RNAcentral lists this long non-coding RNA (1791 nucleotides) under Coffea arabica (coffee). Its description in RNAcentral is "long non-coding RNA (CARA_LNC008266)". Lineage: Eukaryota; Viridiplantae; Streptophyta; Magnoliopsida; Gentianales; Rubiaceae. The record is from RNAcentral.
UCAAAUCCAAAUCUCCCCCCACACUUAAAGCACACAUUGCCCUCAAUGUGACAAUUAAACAGUAAAAGUAAGAAGAAGGGCAACGAAACUCCCCUGAAGUUGUCAAAACAGCGGCGGGUUAGGCGGAAGUUGAGGUUCAAAACCCACGUGGUGCAUAAACGCCGCUAAAUUCUGUGCCAUGCUAUGCACAUUAACAUCAAUAUUUGUUACCUGAGCCUCCAGUUUUUGAACUCGCAUCUGGAGUUGGUGCCAGUCAUCAGCCCUUGGGGUUGGAGGAGGUGGAGCGGAGGUCGAAGGGCCGGGGUGUUCUAGACUUAGAAGAAGAUUUGGGUUUCACCAUUUCUCCAAAUGUCACUCAAAUCAACAACAGACAACAAUUCUCAACAAAAUUUAGAACCAACAAAUUCAAAGCAAUAACAAUUGUAAUAAUCACUGUGGCCUCUCUAUUAGUCAAUUUGAGACCCAAUUAAUGCCCGAAAACAAUCCCAAACAAUGCAACAAUUAAAUUUAACGGGCAAAGGACAUCCAACUAAUUUCACUCGAACAAACUAUGAGCAGUGUUAAUGUCUAAAUGAAUCAUCAAAUUUCAGCAAUUAGACACAAUACCACUCAAAAUCUCAAUAACUGUCUCCAAUUGGACAGUUAAUUACACACUCAACCAACCCCAAUAACCAUUCAAAUCAACAAACAAAUGCAGGAAGGAGCUACCCACAAAUAAGAAACAACUCAAAUGACCAACCCAAAGCGCUGAUAAAUCAAAACACACCAAUCAAGACCACAAAAUAACAGAAAUUAAAAUGGGACCCAAGUAACAAGUAACUCUCAAAUCAACCCCAACAAUUCUCAAACAAAUGAACUGGCACAAGAGACGUCAAAUUUAAUCCCCACAGAUGAAAUAAAAACCUCAAGUAGUCCAAACACUAUUCAGAAGACCCAAAAUUAACCCCAGAAAAUCCCCAAGUCACCUCCUGCCUUUAUCAAUCAGAAGACCCAAGAGAAAAAAAAUGCAAAUUCAGCAAUUUAAGAUCCUGGACAGUACUAAUCGAUGGAGAAAUAGCAAUACCUUCACCUGUCAAAAAUUGGCAGGUAGUGUUUGCUGGCUAUCUGUGUAGGUGGAGUGUGGUAGUCGCGCAAGGAGAGGGAGAAGAGACGGUGCAGCAGCGACAAGAGGUGGUGAAGCUUGCGCGAGGGAGGCGGCAGCUUCAGUUGCGGUUGGUGUGGUGCGCGCAGGUGGAGGCGCUCUAGCUAGCGCGAGCUAGCUCAAGCUGGCGGACGGUGGAGCUGAGCUGGUUGUGGGUAGUGACGGCGGCAGUAGGUGAGGCGAGCUAGGUGGGGAGGAGCGAGACCGAGGGUGGAGGUGCAGUGGCUGCGCGAGCUCACAGUCGUGGGCAAGAGCUUGUAUUUGCGAGCUAGUGGCUCGCGAUGGAGGAAGCAGCAGGCAGCGGCGGCUGCAUGCAGAGGUGGAUGCGUUGGUCUCCGGCUGUGCAGUGGUCAAAGGUUGAGCUUACGAUGGUGGUGGGAGCGAGGCGGAGAGAGACGGCAGCUCGCGGUUGGUCGAGAGAGAGAGACGGCCAGGAGAGAGGUAGAUAGCAAGCAGGAGCGGCGUGGGCUGCUGGUAGCGCGGGAGCUCAGGAUGAGCUGCGGCGAGCUGGGGUGGGCGGCGAUGGCAGUCGGGAGAGGAGCUUGUGACUCGCGCAGGUGGAUAUCGCGCAAGGAGGAGAGAGCAAGGCGGAGUGUGCUAGGAAGAAGAAGAAGCGGGCAGCGGGGAAGAAGAAAGGAAAGAAAGAAAAG